ACGGGUGAGUAACGCGUGGGGAAUCUGCCUUUGAGCGGGGGACAACAUUUGGAAACGAAUGCUAAUACCGCAUAAAAACUUUAAACACAAGUUUUAAGUUUGAAAGAUGCAAUUGCAUCACUCAAAGAUGAUCCCGCGUUGUAUUAGCUAGUUGGUGAGGUAAAGGCUCACCAAGGCGAUGAUACAUAGCCGACCUGAGAGGGUGAUCGGCCACAUUGGGACUGAGACACGGCCCAAACUCCUACGGGAGGCAGCAGUAGGGAAUCUUCGGCAAUGGACGAAAGUCUGACCGAGCAACGCCGCGUGAGUGAAGAAGGUUUUCGGAUCGUAAAACUCUGUUGGUAGAGAAGAACGUUGGUGAAAGUGGAAAGCUCAUCAAGUGACGGUAACUACCCAGAAAGGGACGGAUAACUACGUGCC
RNAcentral lists this ribosomal RNA (420 nucleotides) under uncultured bacterium. RNAcentral's name for it is "bacterial SSU rRNA". It matches the Rfam family "Bacterial small subunit ribosomal RNA", at positions 102 to 509 of the family's 1533-position model. The record is from RNAcentral.